UACGUAGGGGGCAAGCGUUAUCCGGAUUUACUGGGUGUAAAGGGAGCGUAGACGGCAGGGCAAGUCCGAUGUGAAAACCCGGGGCUCAACCGCGGGAUUGCAUUGGAAACUGCUCGGCUCGAGUACUGGAGGGGUAAGCGGAAUUCCUAGUGUAGCGGUGAAAUGCGUAGAUAUUAGGAGGAACACCAGUGGCGAAGGCGACUUACUGGGCCGUAACUGACGCUGAGGCGCGAAAGCGUGGUGAGCGAACAGGAUUAGAUACCCCUGUAGUCCCUGAG
RNAcentral lists this ribosomal RNA (278 nucleotides) under uncultured prokaryote. Its description in RNAcentral is "partial 16S ribosomal RNA". It matches the Rfam family "Bacterial small subunit ribosomal RNA", at positions 524 to 801 of the family's 1533-position model. The record is from RNAcentral.